AGAGUUUGAUCCUGGCUCAGAACGAACGCUGGCGGAGUGCUUAAGACAUGCAAGUCGUACGAGAAAGUCACCUUCGGGUGGCGAGUAAAGUGGCGCACGGGUGAGUAACACGUGGAUAAUCUGCCUAUAGGUCUGGGAUAACCCCGGGAAACUGGAGCUAAUACCGGAUAAGACCACGACGUCUUCGGGCGACGCGGUAAAAGAUGGCCUCUCCUUGGAAGCUAUCGCCNAUAGAUGAGUCCGCGGACCAUUAGCUUGUUGGUAGGGUAACGGCCUACCAAGGCUACNAUGGUUAGCUGGUCUGAGAGGAUGAUCAGCCACACUGGAACUGAGACACGGUCCAGACUCCUACGGGAGGCAGCAGUCGGGAAUCUUG
Molecule: ribosomal RNA, 376 nt
Filed under: uncultured bacterium
Lineage: Bacteria
Description: bacterial SSU rRNA
Rfam family: Bacterial small subunit ribosomal RNA
Source: RNAcentral